CUUCUUCAACCCAGGAGGCAGAGGUUGCAGUGAGCCGAGAUGGUGCCACUGCACUCCAGCCUGGACAACAGAGCGAGACUCCAUGUGAAAAAAAAAAAAAAAAAAAGAAUCCAUUUGGUUGAUCCCAAGAAUCCCAUAAACAAGACAGUGUCUGAAUUGUGAAGCUAUAUUAGCCUCCACAACACUGUUCAGUUGAUUUGCUUAUUACAAAAUGAGAAAAGAGGGCAUACUUUCUCCCCAGGCCCCUAGGCAAGAUUUGGUCACAGCACAUAGCAAAGGGAAUUUCUCUUUGGUGACUAUUCAACAGGAUGAAUUCCUGCUAUCUAUGAUCAGCUACGUAUUGACAUCAGGGAGGGUUCGGGGCACAGAAUGCUCUCAGUGCUUCAUUUUGGCUACAUAUCUCCCUCUAUCAAGUUUCUAGUGUCAGAACAAAAUUUGUAGACAUUGCUUGGAUGAUCCAGAUAAUUAACUGGCAACGCUGAAAUUCCCAAAAAAUAAAGGCUUUUGUGCUACUGUCUUCUACAACAAUACAAUGAUCAAAAUGCAUAGCAGGAGCAACUGGUAAAUGAAAAGGAAAACAAAACUUUAGGUCAGGUAUUCCAGUGUGUCCUUGGGACACCUCAGUGAGCAUGUGGCCUCUAUGUGCACAUUAACUGCUUCUUACAUCACAAGGAAUUUACUGACAUCCUUCACUGAAGGUCAAGAUCAUGCGGCUUCUGGUAGCCUCGCCACAUGGUGCCAGGAGUCUCCAGUCAUGGAGUUCAUAAUGGAGCCCCUCCCGCAGGGGCUGGCAAUGCCACAGAAAGUUUUCUCAGCCCUCAUAACAUAGGCAGAC
This 835-nucleotide long non-coding RNA is filed under the name Homo sapiens (human). RNAcentral describes it as "HSALNT0116052". The record is from RNAcentral. Lineage: Eukaryota; Metazoa; Chordata; Mammalia; Primates; Hominidae.